Molecule: long non-coding RNA, 2144 nt
Organism: Bos grunniens (domestic yak)
Lineage: Eukaryota; Metazoa; Chordata; Mammalia; Artiodactyla; Bovidae
Source: Ensembl
CAAAAUGUUAAAAGGUGUACAGUGGAAAGUCAGACUCCUUCCACUUCUAUCCCUCAGGGUUCAGCUCCUCUCCAGGAAGCAGCCAUUGUGCCUUUCAUUGGUCUUCCCAGAGACAUCCUGUGCCUGCACUCACGAUUUACUUUUCCUGACAUAGUGAUAAUUCCCUAUAAAAAAGAAAGGAAGCAGGCUUACACACGGACUCUCAGAUUUACCAACACACACACACAAUUUUACCAGCCCUCUCCUGGGAAUCUUCACACACACACAGCCAAUCACAGUCGUCUCCUACCUAACACCCGCCAACGCUUCUCAUGGUUCCCUGAACACAGGACACACUCUAAGCGGGCUGACAAGGAAGGCCCUCUGUGGGCUGCCUGCUGCCUCCCCUUCAGCGUUCCUUCUUGGCAACGCCAUCUUUGUCCCACCCAGGCCGACCUGCUCUUGUUCACUUCCUGCUGGGGAGCCAACCCCUUCCUCAUGUCGUCCGCCUGACGUGUGUUGUUCCACACGCUGCCAGUCCCUCACUUGUUGAGGUCUGCUUGGCCCCAGCUGUUCAUUUACGGAGGUCUUCGUGGCUGCCCAGACCAGUUCUGUUAGUAAGAAGCAGAACUAAAGGCGACCCCGGCGGGCCCAGGAGAAACGACGAGCAACCAGACACAGUACCUGCAGAGCUCGGAGUUCACGGCCUCCCUGCCUCAGGAGCUGCUGCGUCCGUCCACCUCGAGCCUCUGGCUUCUGCCUUACCAGCUUUCAGGGUUCAUGUGAGCAUUUCUUUUUCACACACACUUUGGAAAGGACCGGAGUCGGGGUGGGCCCAACUGAAAAACCAGAUUGAGUUCAGGGUGCAGCUGAUUCUGAUGGGCCCAGCAUGAAGUAUCAGUUCAGUCGCUCAGUCGUGUCUGACUCUUUGCGACCCCAUGAAUUGCAGCAUGCCAGGCCUUCCUGUCCAUCACCAUCUCCCGGAGCUCACCCAAACUCAUGUCCAUCAAAUUGGUGAUGCCAUCCAGCCAUCUCAUCCUCUGUCAUCCCCUUCUUCUCCUGCCCCCAAUCCCUCCCAGCAUCAGAGUCUUUUCCAAUGAGUCAACACUUCACAUGAGGUGGCCAAAGUACUGGAGUUUCAGCUUUAGCAUCAGUCCUUCCAAAUCAGGUGAACACAAUUUUGUUUUAACACUAAAUGAGCAGGUUAACCUUACCUUAGGAAACCUUACAAAAAUCUUUAAUUACAGUGGGCACAGCUGAGAACUUUUACCUGGGUAAGCCUAUCCAUUUACGAGAUGCCUUAGAGAAAAGCGAGUCUUAGCCAACCGUUCACCCUAAAAGGUAGAGGGAAAAUGUGUUUUCCUCCCUGAAAGGAGGACCUGUAUAGUUCUAGUGACCAGGAUGAGACCUGCCGGGACACCCCACACACCUGUGUUCCCAGGACCUAGGAUCACAUCUGCUGGGUGGAUGCUGCCUGAUUUGAUACUUGCUCAAAUAAACUCUCUCAAACUCUCAAAAUGUCUAAUAUGCCUCAGUUUAUCUUUUAACAGAACCUAAAAAUAACUGUUUCCUGUUACCAAAAACUCUAAACGCCAGCUUCUAAAAAAAUAUAUACCUUUUAGAAAUGGAGAGGAACUGAGAUUCGCUAUCUGGCUACUCACAUUCUCUGUGAUCCAUUCUGCUCUUCUUUCUUCUGGGUGUGUAUUUGCUUAGUCGCUCAGUUGUGUCUGACUCUUUGCAACCCCAUGGAACCUACCAUGCUCCUCUGUCCAUGAGAUUUUUCCAGGCAAGAAUACUGGAGUGGGUAGCCAUUCCCUUCUGCAUCAUUUCUGAUCCAAGGAUUGAACCCCAGUCUCCUGCACUGCAGGCAGAUUCUUUACUGUCUGAGCCACCAGGGAAGCCCGAUUUUUCUGCUAAUGCCUCUCAAACUCGACAAGCUCCUCAGGCUACUCUGGGCUCUCUGAGCUCACUUUUUCAUCCAUGAGGAUUUCUUUCUUCAAUUGAUUUGGACUUGGUGCUUUAAUUAAGUACUCUACCUCAAAUAUAUAGUUCUUUUCUCAAAAUGUUACUUUUUUUUAAUUCAUGAAAAUAUAGAACUUCAUAGCUGUCAUGGCCCACAGCGUGGUCAUUCUCAAUUUUUAACCUUUGUUCAAUGUGGAAAACCA